RNAcentral lists this ribosomal RNA (253 nucleotides) under uncultured bacterium. RNAcentral's name for it is "partial 16S ribosomal RNA". It matches the Rfam family "Bacterial small subunit ribosomal RNA", at positions 524 to 776 of the family's 1533-position model. The record is from RNAcentral.
UACGUAGGGUGCGAGCGUUAAUCGGAAUUACUGGGCGUAAAGCGUGCGCAGGCGGUUCGUUGUGUCUGAUGUGAAAGCCCUGGGCUCAACCUGGGAAUUGCAUUGGAUACUGGCAGGCUAGAGUGCGGUAGAGGAUGGCGGAAUUCCACGUGUAGCGGUGAAAUGCGUAGAGAUGUGGAGGAACACCGAUGGCGAAGGCAGCCUCCUGGGCCAAUACUGACGCUCAUGCACGAAAGCGUGGGGAGCAAACAGG